RNAcentral lists this non-coding RNA (192 nucleotides) under Prosthecochloris sp. Lineage: Bacteria; Pseudomonadati; Chlorobiota; Chlorobiia; Chlorobiales; Chlorobiaceae. The record is from RNAcentral. RNAcentral also lists the same sequence under 1 other name.
CACGUUCUGAAGAAGCCAGAUACCCCGUAACAAGGGUUUAAUAGGGAAUACACGUGAAAAUCGUGAGCUGACGCGCAACUGUAAGUCCUUGCAUGCUUCUGCGGCACAGCGCCACUGAUCCCCGGAAUACCGGGACGGGAAGGCGCCGCAGAACGGACCAGCCAGGAGACCUGUCGGGCUUUUUUUUAUUUA